UCUGNAACGGNNGCUAAUCCGCAUACGUCGCAAGACCAAGAGGGGGACCUUCGGGCCUCUUGCCAUCGGAUGUGCCCAGAUGGGAUUAGCUAGUAGGUGGGGUAACGGCUCACCUAGGCGACGAUCCCUAGCUGGUCUGAGAGGAUGACCAGCCACACUGGAACUGAGACACGGUCCAGACUCCUACNGGAGGCAGCAGUGGGGAAUAUUGCACAAUGGGCGCAAGCCUGAUGCAGCCAUGCCGCGUGUAUGAAGAAGGCCUUCGGGUUGUAAAGUACUUUCAGCGGGGAGGAAGGGAGUNAAGUUNAUACCUUUGCUCAUUGACGUUACCCGCAGAAGAAGCACCGGCUAACUCCGUGCCAGCAGCCGCGGUNAUACGGAGGGUGCAAGCGUUAAUCGGAAUUACUGGGCGUAAAGCGCACGCAGGCGGUUUGUUANGUCAGAUGUGAAAUCCCGGGCUCAACCUGGGAACUGCAUCUGAUACUGGCAAGCUUGAGUCUCGUAGAGGGGGGUAGAAUUCCAGNGUACGGUGAAUGCGUAANAUCUGAAGAUACCGGUGGCGAAGCGCCCCUGGACAANAUGACCUCAGUCGAAGCUGGGACAACAGAUAAUNCCUGUAGNCCGCNUAACAUUCACUGAGUGGCCUGAGCUGCUCGACUACCGUAGNACGCUGNAACGCCAGUAACCAUAUNCGGCCCACGGANUNGUUAUAUCCNAACUCNNUAUCNAUUCAGNNGNCUGACGNAGNUUGUNNNUUNAAUGNACCNACCUCUNCCGCCGAAAACUUAUGAGGAUCNUCUAGCCUUNAAAACAACNGUCU
RNAcentral lists this ribosomal RNA (820 nucleotides) under Shigella boydii. Its description in RNAcentral is "partial 16S ribosomal RNA". The stretch from base 1 to 680 matches the Rfam family "Bacterial small subunit ribosomal RNA", at positions 150 to 873 of the family's 1533-position model. The record is from RNAcentral. Lineage: Bacteria; Pseudomonadati; Pseudomonadota; Gammaproteobacteria; Enterobacterales; Enterobacteriaceae.